GUGCCAGCAGCCGCGGUAAUACGGAGGUGGCAAGCGUUGCUCGGAAUCACUGGGCGUAAAGGGCGCGUAGGCGGGGAGGUAAGUCGGGUGUGAAAUCCCUCGGCCCAACUGAGGAACUGCGCCCGAGACUGCUUCUCUUGAGUCCCGGAGAGGAAGAUGGAAUUCCCGGUGUAGCGGUGAAAUGUGUAGAGAUCGGGAGGAACACCGGUGGCGAAGGCGGUCUUCUGGACGGUGACUGACGCUGAGGCGCGAAAGCGUGGGGAGCAAACGGGAUUAGAUACCCCUGUAGUCC
RNAcentral lists this ribosomal RNA (292 nucleotides) under uncultured bacterium. RNAcentral describes it as "partial 16S ribosomal RNA". It matches the Rfam family "Bacterial small subunit ribosomal RNA", at positions 505 to 796 of the family's 1533-position model. The record is from RNAcentral.